RNAcentral lists this unclassified non-coding RNA (21 nucleotides) under Mus musculus (house mouse). RNAcentral's name for it is "oocyte_clustered_small_RNA3446". The record is from RNAcentral. Lineage: Eukaryota; Metazoa; Chordata; Mammalia; Rodentia; Muridae.
UUGCGUGGCUUGCUCAUAAAU